This 508-nucleotide ribosomal RNA is filed under the name uncultured bacterium. RNAcentral describes it as "partial 16S ribosomal RNA". It matches the Rfam family "Bacterial small subunit ribosomal RNA", at positions 28 to 523 of the family's 1533-position model. The record is from RNAcentral.
GAUGAACGCUAGCUACAGGCUUAACACAUGCAAGUCGAGGGGGAACGACAUCGAAAGCUUGCUUUUGAUGGGCGUCGACCGGCGCACGGGUGAGUAACGCGUAUCCAACCUGCCCACCACUUGGGGAUAACCUUGCGAAAGUAAGACUAAUACCCAAUGAUAUCUCUAGAAGACAUCUGAAAGAGAUUAAAGAUUUAUCGGUGAUGGAUGGGGAUGCGUCUGAUUAGCUUGUUGGCGGGGUAACGGCCCACCAAGGCUUCGAUCAGUAGGGGUUCUGGGAGGAAGGUCCCCCACAUUGGAACUGAGACACGGUCCAAACUCCUACGGGAGGCAGCAGUGAGGAAUAUUGGUCAAUGGACGGGAGUCUGAACCAGCCAAGUAGCGUGCAGGAUGACGGCCCUAUGGGUUGUAAACUGCUUUUAUAAGGGAAUAAAGUGAGUCUCGUGAGACUUUUUGCAUGUACCUUAUGAAUAAGGACCGGCUAAUUCCGUGCCAGCAGCCGCCGUAA